UUUGUCAGUGGCGAGCAGAUAAAUUAUUUUCCUUGGGCAGAGGUAAAUAAUUUAUCUGCGAGCCACUGACAAAUCGCGAUAUUU
Paramuricea clavata is the source of this 84-nucleotide non-coding RNA. The record is from the annotation of a GenBank genome assembly. Lineage: Eukaryota; Metazoa; Cnidaria; Anthozoa; Malacalcyonacea; Plexauridae.